AUACUCAGGUUUCUCUUCAGAUCGUAUAAAUCGUUUGCCUUUUACUAAAGGUUUCUGUAGAGAGUCUAUUCCAGGCUGCCAUGAUAGACUAAGAUUUUAAGAGCAUUAGAGAUGCAGGCCU
Molecule: small nuclear RNA, 121 nt
Filed under: Echinops telfairi (small Madagascar hedgehog)
Lineage: Eukaryota; Metazoa; Chordata; Mammalia; Afrosoricida; Tenrecidae
Description: U5 spliceosomal RNA (ENSETEG00000025728.1)
Source: RNAcentral